Molecule: long non-coding RNA, 27138 nt
Filed under: Brassica napus (rape)
Lineage: Eukaryota; Viridiplantae; Streptophyta; Magnoliopsida; Brassicales; Brassicaceae
Description: long non-coding RNA (BNAP_LNC025282)
Source: RNAcentral
ACUUGCUAAGCUUAACAGCUUCUCCUUUCAUCACACAAGCUCACUAACAACCUUGUGGGAACACCUCCAUCUUCUUCAGACUUGAUGCUUACUUCCCCACUUAACCACCAUUGCACUGAGGAGAUACCUCAGCUUACUCUCCAAGUACUUCUUAUUAGAAGCUCAUUGAGUCGCUUUCUUCUUCCCUCUACUUCGGCUGCAUCUACACAUGAUCAGCUUGCAAUGGCCUUGAGGAACCAGGUCAUUGAGCUUAGAGGAUCUUCUGGUAGCUCACUUGAAUCCUCACCUCAAACUUGACUUAGUGUAGGUGCAAGCUUGAAGUGAGCCUCAAUGAGACUUCAAACCGGGAGCGCAUCACUACCUACAGCUGCGCUUAACCCAACCGAUCUGCCAUUGCCUUCAGCUCCAAUGCCUUCAGGUCAUCAGUCUCCCCAAGACUUAGGUGAUGACCUUUACUUGUGUGUCUCCAUGAACCAGGAGCACAUCACUAUCACUAGCUGCGCUAUCUUAACCGGCCAUACACACAAGUCUUUCUCCAUUGCUUUAACAAUGGCAAAGUCUUCCUCUUCUACUUGGAUGGAUGGUGAGCAAAGAACACUUCUUGUGAACCUGAAACACCACUCAAACUCCAGCAAAGAUAAGACACAAAGGUAUUGGAAUCAAUUCUUGAAAUAUCAUCAAGGUUGAUCACCAAUAUCACAAGCAUUGCAACAGAUUACACAAGACAUAUUCAAGUUCUAAUCUUUGCAAGCAAUUUCUCUAAGUAUAUGCAAGAUCUAAACAGAUUCAAUACAAGUUACUUAGGCAAUUUUAACUUCUGCCUUAACUACAUCUUAGACUUGAAUCCAAGUGCAUCAACCUAAGACAGCAACAACACUCUAAGCUUUAUUACACUACUCGGUUACAAUCAAUGAAAGUAACCAGGAUCAGACACAUCUAGUAUCCUAUACAAUCAUUGUAGAACCGAGGCAAGCUUUACAACUCUCAAUCACCAUUCACAACUCUCAAGUAUCUUGGGACAGAUUCUAAACAUUUCAUAUCUAGCAAUCUUUAAACAUCCACAAGUUUUCAAUCACAUCACAACAUCACAACCUGUUCAUACACUCAAGCUUUAUACAAGAGAAAGAGAUUUCCUUACAGCCAAGGAACUAGUGUUAGUUCCUUGAAACUCCUUAGUACAUGGGAAGAUCCGAGCUGUUGGUGUCAACUCCUACAUAUCCUUCUUUCAUGGACCUUUCUCUUGAACCCACCAUGCCUAAGACACCUCCUCUCUUCAUUUUUUGAGUCGCCAUACCAGGUACAAGUUGAAAGCUUUCACCUUUCUUCUUGGACAGUGAAUGGGAAUGGCUUGGACAUGCUUCCAAUGGCCUUCUUUCUUCAGGACGACCAUGAGAGAGUAGAGAACGACCAAGAACAGCUUCUGGACGCCAUUGAUGAGCACACCUUCUUCUUGAAGAGGUUGAACAGCCAAAUGAACAUGAAGCUUCUUCUUGGUUUGGAAAUGGCAUGGGAGUGAGCUUUGAGCUUAGCGGAAGCUGGAACCAAGUUCUAAUGAACCUGGCUCUGAUACCAUAUGAGAUUUAAGAGUACUCAGGUUGUAUGUGUGUAUGAAACCCAAAUGGGUAAAGAGAGAGAGAGCUUGGAAGCGAUUUGAGAGAAAGGAAGUUUAAUGAGUGUUUGUGUGUCUAAGUGUUUAAGAGAUUAGUGACCAGACUAAGAACGUGUAUAGAGAUUCAGGAUGAGAAACUAGAGAGACAAAGAGAAAGUUGUUGAGAUGAGAGAAUAAAGAGUUGAUAUAUUGAGAGAGGAAGAGAGUUGGAGUAGACAGUAACUUUGGAGUUUUACUGUGGUAACUUUAGUUUAACCACAGUAACAACUUGGGAAGUUAUCUGAUGGCAUGAGAAGGUAACUUAGUGAAGGGAAGAGAGUAAACUCGACCAAAGAGGAUAAGGAAGGAUAAGGGAGCACUUUGACAGCCUGUAUGAUGCUGGAAAGGAGAGGAUGCUUUNNNNNNNNNNNNNNNNNNNNNNNNNNNNNNNNNNNNNNNNNNNNNNNNNNNNNNNNNNNNNNNNNNNNNNNNNNNNNNNNNNNNNNNNNNNNNNNNNNNNNNNNNNNNNNNNNNNNNNNNNNNNNNNNNNNNNNNNNNNNNNNNNNNNNNNNNNNNNNNNNNNNNNNNNNNNNNNNNNNNNNNNNNNNNNNNNNNNNNNNNNNNNNNNNNNNNNNNNNNNNNNNNNNNNNNNNAGAUGCCUAUUCUUCCUCUCAGCUACCCCAUUCUGCUGUGGUGUGUAAGGACAACUGGUCUGAUGCACUAUCCCAUGUUUAGCCAAGUGAUUCUUGAAGGCAUGACUGGUGUAUUCUCCUCCAUUAUCAGACCGUAGUACCUUCACAGUAGCAUUGUAAUGGUUAGUUACAUAUGCUUGGAAGUUGACAAAAGCCUCAAAAACUCUAUCUUGGGGCUCCAGUGUAGGCUACAAGAGACCUCCCAUCACCUGCUUCACGCCCAUCUAUCUCCUUCCCUUUGCUAGUACCUUCUCCACUUGCGCUUGCUCUAUCUGAGACAUUAGCCCUUGCCUCUCUGUCCUUCAUAAACUUUGCCGGCUUGAGAUGGGGAUGGAGUAUCCAGCAUUGGCUCUUCUUGUGGCCAUGCUUCUUGCAGUGAUCACAGUUCCCAUUGAACCUCCUCUCAUCAUACUUCCCAUGCGCAGCCUUGUGUGCUUGUGGAGCUUCCCCUCCCUCCUCUUGAGUUGCUUGAUUCACGAGAGAUAGCUCUCCUUUCUUUCCAAACAACCCAAUAGAGCCUUGUUCCUUCUGAAUCCUUGCGCACACUUCUUCAAGAUCAGGUAGUGUGUCCUCUCUAAGCAAGUGUUGGAUAAGACCAUUGUAAGCCGGAUUCAUGGUGAGGAGUAGCCCAAAGACCUUAUAGCCUGCUUCACCUCAAACACACGGCUCAGGUUUGAUGUAUUCCCAUACACCUUCUUCAACGUAUCCCACAGCUCUUUAGCUGAUUCACAGUAGCUGUAUGCAUCUAGAAUCGCCGGCUCAAGUGAAGCAUGCAGCACUGACAUGUCCUCCUGAUGCCACUUCUCUUCCGCUUUGCUUGCGGCUUCUCCUUCAGUUUCUCCUUGGGUGAUGAGCUUUGGAGCUUCUCCUGGCGUGAUGUGCUUCCAAAGCCCUUUGCUUCCCACCGUGGUUCUCACCAUCCGAGACCACACCAAGUAGUUGGUUCCCUUGAAGCAAACCGCUACCUUCAUGUUCAUGUUCAUACCACUCUCCAUGAUGAACGAUGACUUCUCUAGACUUCACAAACUGGAUCUUGAGUUAAAAGACUUGUAAGAACACUCACUGCCUCGGUCUUCAACCUCACAGCUUCAGCAACACACUAAAAACUAGUCUUUGAACUCGGACAAUACCCGGAACUUCCCAAGAACACAAGAACACCAACCAAACUCUUUAAAGCUUCAAUCUUGAAUCUCCAAAGAGCCUAACACGAACUCAGGUUCUCACUAACCUGGCUCUGAUACCAUAUUAGUUUUAGUAAUGUUUAGAGUAAUCUGAGUGUUUAGGAAAGACUAGAAUCGAUUUAGAGAAGAUUAGAGUAUGAAAUGAGAUUAUGAGUCUAAUAUGGAACCAUUGAGAUUUAAAGACUAAGAGAAAGACUCAAAACUUGCAUGAUUUUAUUAAUGAGUGAGGUUACAUAUUUAUAAGAGAGACACAAGGGUUUACAAGAAGGGAAAUGGGCACUAUUGAACCGUGUGGAGUCAAGGGGCGCCUUUUGAAUGAUUGGUCAGGAUGGCUCACAUGCUUCAGCUCUUUACAGCCUGUUCCAGCCUGGCACGCUCUUGCCUUAUCCUCUCAACGGUCUGAUCCAACUCCCUAAGCUACCCAAGUCACUCCUCCUUAGUUACCGUCUCACUUGGAUAGGGUAUGGUAAGUUUUGGUUGAGGUUUGGAUGGUACGGCUUGUACGGCCUUGUACGGCCUUGUACGGCCUUGUACGGCCUUGUACGGCCUUGUACGGCCUUGUACGGCCUUGUACGGCCUUGUACGGCCUUGUACGGCCUUGUACGGCCUUGUACGGCCUUGUACGGCCAGCCGUACCAUACUCUCCCAAACUUCCCUAAGUACUUCAUCUCCUCUUCUCUUCAACUCCUUAUCUCUUCAUAUCCAUAUACUCAGCUCAUCUCAACAGUCGCCAGGUCCAUGAUGUUUCAAUCCAAUGUGCCUACGAAGUUUUGGAGUGAUGCAGUUGCUACAGCUUGUUAUCUCAUCAAUAGGACACCAACGUUGAUCCUGCAAGGGCAAUCACCAUUUGAGGUAUUGAAUCAAUACAAGCCCUCCUUGGAGCAUAUGAAGAUCUUUGGGUGUUUGUGUUUUGUGAUGGUGCCGAGGGAGAUAAGAAACAAGCUAGAAGCUAAGAGCUCAAAGGCAAUGUUUAUUGGAUACUCAUCAAGCCAGAAAGGAUACAAGUGCUAUGACCCUAACACGAGGAGAGUGUUAGUAUCUAGAGAAGUGAAGUUUGUGGAAGAAAAAGGGUAUUAUGAGGAACAGAUUCAAGAAGACUUGAGAGAUCUUAAGAGCUGCAACCUUAAGAAUAAUCCUAGAAGGUCUUGGAAUCCAAGUGGAUCAAGAACCACAAGAAGUGAGAAGCACUACACAGACUCCGGAUCAUCAGACGUCCAAUCUUGAGCAUGAGGGGGGGAAUGAAAGAAGAACUCAAAACAGUGAAGAGACAAGUAGAAAAGAGAGUUCUAGUGCUCAUGAUCAAGCUAUGGAGUCAAAUGAUCAACAAGAAGGAGCUGAAGAGAGUCAGCUAAGGGAAGAGGGAGCUGAAGCAAGUCAGCUAGGAGAAGAAAGAUCUGAAACAAGUGAAGGGCCACAAGAAGAAGAACAAGAGAUGGCUCAAGAAGGGCCAGUGUUGAGAAGAAGUACAAGGCUGAGAAAGGAUCCUUCUAGCUGGGUAAACACGAGAGUGUACUACAAUGCCCAAACUGUGGAGCAUCCUACUCAGGCUGUGUGUUCUUUUUCUCAAUAUCCAGAAGCACAUUGCGCAUUCAUGGUAAACUUGGAUGAGAAUCACAUUCCAAGAAGCUAUGAAGAGGCAAUGAAGGAUAAGGAAUGGAAGGAAUCAGUAGGAACUGAGGCAGGAGCAAUGAUCAAGAAUGAUACAUGGUAUGAGAGUGAAUUGCCAAAAGGGAAGAAGGCUGUGUCUAGUAGAUGGAUCUUCACAAUCAAAUACAAGGCUGAUGGGAUGAUUGAGAGGAAGAAGACUAGACUAGUAGCAAGAGGGUUCACUCAGACAUAUGGAGAGGAUUACAUUGAGACAUUUGCACCAGUAGCCAAGUUACACACCAUUCGGAUUGUUUUGAGCUUGGCUGUGAAUCUUGGAUGGGGAUUGUGGCAAAUGGAUGUAAAGAAUGCAUUCCUACAAGGUGAACUUGAGGAUGAAGUGUAUAUGCAUCCACCUCCAGGCCUUGAACACUUAGUGAAGAGAGGUAAUGUGUUGAGAUUGAAGAAAGCUAUCUAUGGGCUGAAGCAAUUAGUGAAGAAGGGAAAUGUGCUGAGGCUAAAGAAAGCUAUCUAUGGAUUGAAACAAUCACCAAGAGCCUGGUACAACAAGCUAAGCACAACACUGAAUGGGAGAGGCUUUAGAAAGUCAGAAUUGGAUCAUACGCUUUUUACCCUAACUACACCCUCAGGUAUGGUUGCUCUCCUUGUGUAUGUGGAUGAUAUCAUUAUCACAGGAAGUGAUAAGGAAGGUAUCAAAGCAACCAAGGAGUUUCUUAAGUCUAUGUUUGAAAUCAAAGACUUGGGAGAAAUGAAAUACUUUCUUGGAAUUGAGAUUUGUAGAUCCAAGGAAGGUUUAUUCAUGUCCCAAAGGAAGUACACACUUGAUCUUUUGAAAGGUGCAGGUGCUUAUGGAGGCAAGACAGCAAGGAUGCCCAUGGAGGAUGGCUACAAAGUACCAAGAGAGGGGGAGAUUGAAGACAGCAAGCCAUUUCAUGAUCCUAAACUCUAUAGAACACUUGUUGGCAAAUUGAUUUACCUUACCAUUACAAGGCCUGAUAUAUGCUUUGCUGUGAAUCAGGUGAGUCAACACAUGCAGCUUCCCAAGGAACAUCAUUGGCGCAUGGUGGAGAGGCUGUUGAUGUAUCUGAAUGGCUCGCCUGAUCAAGGAGUAUGGAUAGGGUGCAAUGGAAGCACUCAAGUGGUGGGCUAUUGUGAUGCAGAUUGGGCAGGAGAUAAAGCUGAUAGGAGAUCAACAACCGGCUAUUGCACAUUCAUUGGAGGCAACUUGGUGACUUGGAAGAGUAAGAAACAGAAGGUGGUGUCAUGCUCAAGUGCAGAAGCUGAGUAUAGAGCUAUGCUGAAGCUUACAAACGAGCUAGUUUGGAUCAAGGGCAUCUUGAAGCAUUUGAAGAUAGAACAAGCCACUCCAAUGACAAUGCAUUGUGACAACCAAGCCACCAUUCACAUAGCCUCCAACCCGGUGUUCCAUGAGAGGACAAAGCACAUUGAGGUUGAUUGCCACAAGGUGAGGCAGAUGAUUGUCCUAGGAGUCAUCUUGCCAUGUUAUACUAAGAGUGAAGAUCAGUUGGCUGAUGUAUUCACCAAGGCUGCAAGGCAAAAGACAAUGGAGUCCAUUCACAUCAGAUUGGGCCUCAUUGAUCUUAGGAAGAGAGGUAGCUGAUCCCCUUAGUCAUGAGAUCUUUACUCUUUUUCCCUCAUCAAGGUUUUGUCCCAAUGGGUUUUCCUUGGUGAGGUUUUUAAUGAGGAAGAUCUCAUGGCUGUCCAAGCUUAGGCUUUCACAAAGCUAAGCUUGAGGGGGAGUGUUGAGAUGAGCUGAGUAUAUGGAUAUGAAGAGAUAAGGAGUUGAAGAGAAGAGGAGAUGAAGUACUUAGGGAAGUUUGGGAGAGUAUGGUACGGCUGGCCGUACAAGGCCGUACAAGGCCGUACAAGCCGUACCAUCCAAACCUCAACCAAAACUUACCAUACCCUAUCCAAGUGAGACGGUAACUAAGGAGGAGUGACUUGGGUAGCUUAGGGAGUUGGAUCAGACCGUUGAGAGGAUAAGGCAAGAGCGUGCCAGGCUGGAACAGGCUGUAAAGGGCUGAAGCAUGUGAGCCAUCCUGACCAAUCAUUCAAAAGGCGCCCCUUGACUCCACACGGUUCAAUAGUGUCCAUUUCCCUUCUUGUAAACCCUUGUGUCUCUCUUAUAAAUAUGUAACCUCACUCAUUAAUAAAAACCAAGCAGUUUGAGUCUUUCUCUUAGUCUUUAAUCUCAAUGGUUACAUAUUAGACUCAUAAUCUCAUUUCAUACUCUAAUCUUCUCUAAAUCGAUUCUAUUCUUCUCUAAACACUCAGAUUACUCUAAACAACACUAAAAGUGUUACAUAGCUUUAGUACUCUUUGCUUCUAGCUUGUUCCUCCUCUCUCCGGGAACCAUCACAUAACAUAAACACCCAAAGACUCUCAAAUGAUCAAGGUGUGGCUAAGUCUUGUUCAAUACCUCAAAGGGAGACAGAUUCUUUAGGAUCUUGGUCGGAACUCUGUUGAUGAGAUAGCACGCAGUCUGAACAGCAUCCCCCCAAAACCUCUUUGGAACAUUUGCAUGAAACAUCAUUGACCUUGCUACCUCCAUCAAGUGCCUAUUCUUUCUCUCAGCCACCCCAUUCUGCUGUGGUGUGUAAGGACAGCUUGUCUGCUGCACAAUCCCAUGCUUUGCUAGAUGACUCUUGAAAGCAUUGCUAGUGUAUUCUCCUCCAUUAUCAGAUCUUAGCACCUACAUAUAAAUAUGUAAACUCUCUCAUUAAUAAGAUUAAGCAAGUUUUGAGUCUCUCUCUUAGUCUUUAAAUCUCAAUGGUUCCAUAUUAGACUCAUAAUCUCAUUUCAUACUCUUAUCUUCUCUAAAUCGAUUCUAGUCUUUCCUAAACACUCAGAUUACUCUAAACAUUACUAAAACUAAUAUGGUAUUAGAGCCAGGUUAGUGAGAACCUGAGAUCGUGUUAGGCUCUUUGGAGAUUCAAGAUUGAAGCUUUGAAGAGUUUGGUUGGUGUUCUUGCGUUCUUGGGAGGUUCCGGGUAUUGUCCGAGUUCAAAGACUAGUUUUUAGUGUGUUGCUGAAGCUGUGAGGUUGAAGACCGAGGCAGUGAGUGUCCUUACAAGUCUUUUAACUCAAGAUCCAGUUUGUGAAGUCUAGAGAAGUCAUCGUUCAUCAUGGAGAGUGGUAUGAACAUGAACAUGAAGGUAGCGGUUUGCUUCAAGGGAACCAACUACUUGGUGUGGUCUCGGAUGGUGAGAACCACGGUGGGAAGCAAAGGGCUUUCGAAGCACAUCACGCCAGGAGAAGCUCCAAAGCUCAUCACCCAAGGAGAAACUGAAGGAGAAGCCGCAAGCAAAGCGGAAGAGAAGUGGCAUCAGGAGGACAUGUUGGUGAUGUCAGUGCUGCAUGCUUCACUUGAGCCGGCGAUUCUAGAUGCAUACAGCUACUGUGAAUCAGCUAAAGAGCUGUGGGAUACGUUGAAGAAGGUGUAUGGGAAUACAUCAAACCUGAGCCGUGUGUUUGAGGUGAAGCAGGCUAUAAACAACUUGGUACAAGAGGAUAUGGAGUUCACAAAGCAUCUAGGGAGGUUCAGAACACUCUGGUCCGAGCUGGAGAUGUUGAGGCCAAGCACUACAGAUGCAGAUGAGCUCAACAAAAGAAGAGAGCAAGACAAGGUCUUUGGGCUACUCCUCACCAUGAAUCCGGCUUACAAUGGUCUUAUCCAACACUUGCUUAGAGAGGACACACUACCUGAUCUUGAAGAAGUGUGCGCAAGGAUUCAGAAGGAACAAGGCUCUAUUGGGUUGUUUGGAAAGAAAGGAGAGCUAUCUCUCGUAAAUCAAGCAACUCAAGAGGAGGGAGGGGAAGCUCCAGAAGCACACAAGGCUGCGCAUGGGAAGUAUGAUGAGAGGAGGUUCAAUGGGAACUGUGAUCACUGCAAGAAGCAUGGCCACAAGAAGAGCCAAUGCUGGAUACUCCAUCCCCAUCUCAAGCCGGCAAAGUUUAUGAAGGACAGAGAGGCAAGGGCUAAUGUCUCAGAUGGAGCAAGCGCAAGUGGAGCAGGUACUAGCAAAGGGAAGGAGAUAGAUGGGCGUGAAGCAGGUGAUGGGAGGUCUCUUGUAGCCUACACUGGAGCCCCAAGCAACCGUGGGAACUAUGAUCAAGAGUAUCUAAGGAAAUCCGACCUGGAUGUUCUCAUUAAGCUCUUCAAGGAGCAUGGUAACAUUUUUGGGUAUUCCUUUGGUGCUAGGGCUAUAGGGAAUGAUGAGAAUCCAACUAGAAUUGAUAGGAUGCAUGAAAGUGUGAUAGAGAUAAUAAACCAAUCUAGAACGGAUAGUUUUGCUAGGAAUGAUCAUGCAUUCAAACCAUCUAGUAUACUUGCUCAUAUUGCUAGAAAUGAUCAUGCAUUCGAACCAUCUAGUAUCCUUGCUCAUAUUGCUAGUUCACAUACCAUUAAGCCUUUAGUAGUUGAUUCUGGUGCAUCUCAUCAUAUGAUAAGUGACACUAGUUUGAUUAAAAACAUUGUACCAAUGAAUGGAAAUGUGAUGAUAGCUAAUGGAGAUAAGAUACCUAUUAGAGGAAUAGGAAGUCUUAAACUGUUUGAUAAGGAAACUAAAGCCUUUUAUAUGCCUGAAUUUACUUCAAACUUGUUAUCUGUUAAGAAAUGUGCUACUGAUUUGCAAUGCAAUGUCAUAUUCAGUCCUAAUGAUGUGAAGUUUCAGGAUAUUAAAAGCAGCAAGAUGAUUGGAAAGGGAGUGACUAAAGGAGAAUUGUAUUUACUUGAAGAUCUUGCUCCUGUUUCUAGUUAUAGCUGCUCGUUUACUUCUGUUUCUGGUUCUAGUUUAAGUAAAAAUGCAUUGUGGCAUGCUAGAUUAGGACACCCUCAUAAUAAGGCUUUAAAACUGAUGUUGCCAGGUGUUUCCUUUGAGAAUAAUGAUUGUGAAGCUUGUAUUUUAGGCAAGCAUUGUAAGACUGUCUUUACCAAAUCUACUACGGUUUAUGAGAAGUGUUUUGAUUUGAUUCAUUCUGAUGUUUGGACUGCUCCUUGCUUAUCUAGAGACAAUCAAAAGUAUUAUGUAACUUUCAUUGAUGAAAAAUCCAAAUACACCUGGUUAACUUUAAUUCCAACCAAAGAUAGGGUACUUGAUGCAUUUAAGAACUUUCAAUCAUAUGUGACUAACCAUUAUAAUGCCAAGAUAAAGAUUUUCAGGUCAGAUAAUGGAGGAGAGUACACAGGACAAGCAUUCAAGCUCCAUCUAUCUCAGCAUGGAAUCCUACAUCAGACAAGCUGUCCCUAUACUCCACAACAGAAUGGUGUGGCUGAGAGAAAGAAUAGGCAUCUGAUGGAAGUGGCCAGGUCCAUGAUGUUUCAAACCAAUGUACCCAAGAAGUUCUGGAGUGAUGCGGUCACUACAGCUUGUUAUCUCAUCAACAGAACACCAACUCUGAUUCUGCAAGGGUUAUCACCAUUUGAGGUAUUGAACCGAUACAAGCCCUCAUUGGAACAUAUGAAGAUCUUUGGGUGUUUGUGUUUUGUGAUGGUACCGGGAGAAUUUAGAAACAAGCUUGAAGCUAGAAGCUCCAAGGCAAUGUUUGUUGGAUACUCAUCAAGUCAGAAAGGAUACAAGUGCUAUGAUCCUAACACAAGGAGAGUGUUAGUAUCUAGAGAAGUGAAGUUUGUGGAAGAAAAAGGAUAUUAUGAGGAGCAGAUUCAAGAAGAUUUGAAAGAUCUCACUUCAGAUAGAGCUGCAACCUUGAGGAUAAUACUAGAAGGACUUGGAAUCAAUAUGGAUCAAGAACAGCAAGAAGUAAGAGGCACUACACCAAUACCGAAUCAUCAGACGUCCAAUCUUGAACAUGAGGGGGGGAAUGGAACAGAAACUCAAACUCAAAGUCAUGAAGAGAGUUCUGGUUCUCAUGAUCAAGUUGUGGAGUCAAAUGAUCAACAAGAAGGAGCUGAAGCAAGUCAGCUAAGGGAUGAAGGAGCUGAAGCAAGUCAGCCAAGAAAAGAAAGUACACAAGAAGAUGUACAAGACAUGGAGUUACCGGCACAAGAAGGGCCAGUGUUGAGAAGAAAUACAAGGCUGAGAAAGGAUCCUUCCAGUUGGGUAAACACGAGAGUGUACUACAAUGCUUAAGCUGUGAAGCAUCCUACUCAGGCCGUUUGUUCUUUCUCUCAAUAUCCAGGAGCACACUGUGCAUUCAUGGUAAACUUAGAUGAGAAUCACAUUCCAAGAAGCUAUGAAGAGGCAAUGGAGGAUAAGGAAUGGAAGGAAUCAGUAGGAGCUGAGGCAGGAGCUAUGAUAAAGAAUGAUACAUGGUUUGAAAGUGAACUACCAAAAGGGAAGAAGGCAGUAUCUAGUAGAUGGAUCUUCACAAUCAAAUACAAGGCUGAAGGACAUAUUGAGAGGAAGAAGACUAGAUUAGUAGCAAGAGGGUUCACUCAAACAUAUGGAGAGGAUUACAUUGAGACAUUGCACCAGUAGCCAAGUUACAUACCAUUAGAAUUGUACUAAGCUUGGCGGUUAACCUUGGAUGGGGAUUGUGGCAAAUGGAUGUGAAGAAUGCAUUCUUACAAGGAGAACUUGAGGAUGAAGUCUACAUGUAUCCUCCACCAGGUCUUGAACAUCUAGUGAAGAGAGGGAAUGUACUGAGGCUAAAGAAGGCUAUCUAUGGGUUGAAGCAAUCACCAAGAGCAUGGUACAACAAGUUGAGCACAACUCUGAACGGCCGAGGUUUUAAGAAGUCGGAAUUGGACCAUACUCUCUUUACCCUCAAUACUCCCUCAGGUAUGGUUGCUCUCCUUGUGUAUGUGGAUGAUAUCAUUAUCACAGGAAGUGAUAAGGAAGGUAUCAAAGCAACCAAGGAGUUUCUAAAGUCUAUGUUUGAAAUAAAAGACUUGGGAGAAAUGAAAUACUUUCUUGGAAUUGAGAUUUGUAGAUCCAAGGAAGGUUUGUUCAUGUCCCAAAGGAAGUAUACACUUGAUCUUUUGAAAGGUGCAGGUGCUUAUGGAGGCAAGACAGCAAAGAUGCCAAUGGAGGAUGGCUACAAAGUACCAAGAGAGGGGGAGAUUGAAGACAGCAAGCCAUUUCAUGAUCCUAAACUCUAUAGAAAACUUGUUGGCAAAUUUAUUUAUCUAACCAUCACAAGACCUGAUAUAUGCUUUGCUGUGAAUCAGGUGAGUCAACACAUGCAGCUUCCCAAGGAACAUCACUGGCGUAUGGUGGAGAGGCUGCUGAUGUAUCUAAAUGGCUCGCCGGAUCAAGGUGUAUGGAUGGGGUGCAAUGGAAGCACAGAAGUGGUGGGCUAUUGUGAUCCUGAUUGGGCAGGUGAUAGAGCUGACAGAAGAUCAACAACCGGCUAUUGCACAUUCAUUGGAGGCAACUUGGUGACUUGGAAGAGUAAGAAACAGAAGGUGGUGUCAUGCUCUAGUGCAGAAGCUGAGUAUAGAGCUAUGCUGAAGCUUACAAACGAGCUAGUUUGGAUCAAGGGCAUCUUGAAGCAUUUGGAGAUAGCACAAGACACUCCAAUGACAAUGCAUUGUGACAACCAGGCCGCCAUUCACAUAGCCUCCAACUCGGUGUUCCAUGAGAGAACAAAGCACAUUGAGGUUGAUUGCCACAAGGUGAGGCAGAUGAUUGUCCUAUGAGUCAUCUUGCCAUGUUAUACUAGGAGUGAAGAUCAGUUGGCUGUGUUGAACUGAAGAGAAGAUAGAGCUUGUACAAUAAUAGGGCAAGCUCUAGAAGAUGUCCAGAAGAGUUCAAUUAAGCUUCAGAAGUGUUCUGAAGUAGUUAUCUUGUGAAGUUAAGUCUAGGAAAGACUUAGACUGAUCAUGUGAAGGCUUUGGAGGAGUUUGGGAGAAGAUGGCAGUAUGGUGUAAAGCUAGGGCAUUCAGUACGGCCAUGUACGGCCUAGGGCAAGCCAUGAAGAUGUCUGGUGCAAUCAAGAGGGAAGAUAGGGCAAUGUACAAAGAUAGGGCAAGUGGUACGGACAGGAGGUCCGUACCAACGACCGUACAGCCCACUCCUCUCGCCCAAGUCAUCCGGUUAAGCCCAAAUCAAGAUGUGCAAUGUGAGGGCGGUUUACUUUGAUCCAAUCCUUUCCUUAUGUCCGUUGGGGAGUCUUGGAGGCAAAGGAAGAAUCAAAUGGAUAAGGUGAGCUGUUGGUAUGAGCUGGAAAGGUAAAGGUGCUUUACCUUUACAGCCUUGACUCAUCUGAUCCAUCCAAUUCAAAUGAAGCAAUCUGAGCCCUCCAUUCAGUCCAACCACGACCAGCUAGCACCAGAACAUCAAAGACCAGCUUCCUCUCAUCCUAACCAUCCAUUUAUCUUUAAUUUACAGCCUUAGGAUCUAGUUUUAUGAUCUGAGUUGUGUAAAGGCAUAAAUAAGCCUCUUAGGAUCAUUUUGUAACCCUUAAGCUGAGAGAGUCUCUCUUCUUCAUAAACUUGUUCUUGGAUCUUAUUCUCUGGUUACUAAGUCUCUCUAAUCUCCCAUACACGUUCCUAAUCUCUUAGUCUCUCCCAUACUCUCUCUGAUUCUCUUAAACUCAUUUCUAUUCUUCAUACUUCAUCAUACACAAAUCUCUCAUCUGUUCUUACAUCACUCAAGCACUUGUACUUUGAAAAUCUCACAGGCUGAUGUAUUUACCAAGGCUGCAGGUCAAAAGACAAUGGAGUCCAUUCAUAUUAGAUUGGGCCUCAUUGAUCUUGGGAAGAGAAGCAGCUGAUCCCCUUAGUCAUGAGAUCUUUACUCUUUUUCCCUCAUUAAGGUUUUGUCCCAAUGGGUUUUCCUUAGUGAGGUUUUUAAUGAGGAAGAUCUCAUGGCUGUCCAAGCUUAGGCUUUCACAAAGCUAAGCUUGAGGGGGAGUGUUGAGAUGAGCUGAGUUAAGUGAAGAAGGGAGAUGAGGUUUGAGUAGAAUGAGGAGAAGGGAGACUAGGAAGGAAUUGAGAGAUUCAAAGUAACCAAAGACUAUGAAGGAGAAGGGAAAAUCCCCCUUACUCACUUAAGAGUUACAAAACAUCACUUAUGAGCUUAUAUAUGCUCAUUACAACUUGCAAUCAUAAACCUAAAUCUAAGGGCUGUUAUAAAUUGAAUUUAAAUGGAUGGAUGAGAUGAAAAGAUGGUCUUGGUCGUGGCUUGCUCUUCCUGAUGGAUAAUUGGUCCAUUUGAAUCUGGUCAAGGGAAGGCUGGCUCCUUAUUGGCUAGCUAAAGGCUCCCAUGAAUCUGCCCACUUCUUUUGCUAGAUACAUGGUCUCCUUUUGCUUUAACUUUACAGCAAGGGACUCUCCUUUCCAGCCUGUCACUCGCCAGCCUCUCCUUUGUCUUCUUCUCUUAAGAGUUUUGUCUUCUUCUCUUAAGAGUUUUGUGUUCUCUUACUGUGGUAACUCUCCAAAGUUACUGUGGUAACUUUGGAGUUACUGUCUCAACCAAAUAUUCUCCAAAUGGUGUCUAAGUCCCUCCUGGACUUAAACCCAAUCUUGCACAGCCAUAAGAUCACUUCUUAACUUCUUAAGACCCUCCUGAAGCUUGACAGACAAUCUCUGUAAGACUUGCCCUCUCUUUGCACUAGAACCAAACUACUCCAUACUUCUCCUUUCACUCCAUUUCUAUUCUUCAAGUUAACAUUCUAGAGCUUGCCCUAUCAUUGUACAAGCUCCAUCUUCUCUUCAGUUCAACAUUCAGUUCAACACUCCCCCUUAAGCUUGACUCUAGGAGAUCCUGAGCCAAGCUUGGAACCCUGAAGAGUCUCCCUCAUUAAAAACCUUGCAAAGAAAACCCUGUGGGACAAAACUUUGCAAGGGAAAAAGAGUAGAGCUCUUAAGGGCCUAGGGAUUGGCCAGUGAGCUAUUGUGCCUUAGAACCAGUGUGGUUGGACAAAAGAAGCUCUGGAUCACGGCCUAAUAGGUGCAGUAACUCAACACAGCUUUGCGCACACUUCACACUUCAGCUUCACCUCUUCAUGGAACCGGUUUGAAGUUUCCCCCUCUCAACUGACUUCACAGCCAUUUUAGAGAAGCUAGGACACGACCAGAUCAUCUUCAAAACACCAGUAAGGCUGAUCAACACUUCACACACGGCUUGCCCUCUUCAUCGAACUGGUUUGGGUCUCCCCUUCUCAACAGACUUCUCAGCCACCUUAGAGAAGCUAGGAAACUGACCAGGAACAUCUUUAGUGAGGCUCAAGCAAUGGUACCUGAUACAUUAUCCCAAAGGUGCAUUAGUACCUAUCAAAACCAAGAAAAUGAAUAUCCUGCAUCACACUUGAUGCACACAAUCUCACAAUUCAAUCAUAAUCAUCUUAAGUAUCUUUUCAAGUACAAGCAAUGAAUAAGAUGAAUGAAAAGGAUUGAAAAGAGUUUUAAAAGUCUAAGGGAACUUCCCUUGUGUUUUUGUGAGUUUCCUAACUCUCUCAAUGCACCAUCUUCAUGUCAUCAUCAACUUCUUGGAAAGGCAGAAUGGAUUGAUCAGCUUCUCGUCAAUCACCUCUCAUUGAAGCCGCAUUGAUGGAGAGCCUUCUUCCUCACUUGCCAAGGCUGCUCUGAACAGCCUCUUGCCUAGACACGCCACUGACUUGGCCCGGUUGAUGAUCCUUGUAGAAGCUUUUGCAACAAAAGACUUGUUACUGACCAUGGAUCAUAUGCAUUAAGACUCCCCCUCAAGCUUGGAACCGAGACUAGAAGGAGCUAAGCUUGUGAUGAUUCUAUGCAUCUCCAUGGUCUAAUAACUAUCAUUUUUCAUGAUAGCUUUCUUCUUGUGAGUUUUCUCUCUUCCUUAACCAGGAAUUAGGGUGUUUGAAUCACCAUAGAGAGUCCUCACAAGGCAAGUUCUCACUGUAUAAUAACUCAUGCUACACUUCAUGUAGACUAUGGACUGAACAUGUCCUAUGAUAUUAUACAAUGGCAUUCUCUCAUUGCAUAAUCAAUCACACUACACUUCCUGUAGAUUAUGGAUUAACACAUCCAGUGAUGAUUUGCAAUGGAACUAGACCUUUUGUCUUCACACUUUGGUUUGGCUUGUCACUGUAUCACUUCUUUGUGUACCUAACAUCACCACAACUCAAUGCAAGAUCAGAUCAUCCCAUUGGGAUCAAACUAAGAUCAUCCAUCCUGUUUGAUCACCAAUGCCACAACAAUAUAUAAACCUUGAAACAAGCCAAUCAAUCAAGGCAAGAACAAGCAGUUUUAAAUCUCUAAAAAUGACAAUGCAAGCUUUAAACAAUACAUUGAAAAUUUAGGCUCAUUUUUAAAUGCAUCAAUACAUGAAUGCACAAUCUUAAAGCAUUAGCUAUAUGAAUGCAACAGGUUCAAUCCGAGAGCAAUAUUAAAGCUAUGCACAACAGUUCCAAUCAAUACCAAUGAUGCAAGCAACUUAGACAGUUUCUAAUUGAUGCAAGACAAUCAAUGAUGGAUUAAACAUAGGCAAUAGCAUCAGACAACAAUAGGAUUGAACUUAGACAGUAUGAGACAUGCUUAUGUAUGCAAAACAGCUUAUCAAUCAUGAUGCAAGCAGCAGAGACAUUCUACUCAAGUCUACAACACAUUCAUGAUAAUUUCAAGCUAUGGCAAUACACAAGACAAUGCAAUGAACAGAACAUGAGAUUUUGGGACUCUAGACAUUACCUAAUAUCAAUAAGACAAUGCAGCAGCAAAAUAUUUCCAGUGCAAUUAGCCUAGACAUUCUACUAGAAGCUAUAAACUCUUAAUGUAAAUUAGGGAAAGCACAGAGUAUAAUCAAGAGAUAGACCUAUCAAGACAUAUUAAGAUAGAUGAGACUAGGUUUACUUCCUUGUUUAAGAUGGUGAGGAGUGGUCUCUUCAUUUCGCCACUUGAGUCCUCACUUGCUAAGCUUAACAGCUUCUCCUUUCAUCACACAAGCUCACUAACUUGAAGGUGAGCGCUUACUAAGCUUCAUGAACAACCUUGUGGGAACACCUCCAUCUUCUUCAGACUUGAUGCUUACUUCCCCACUUAACCACCAUUGCACUGAGGAGAUACCUCAGCUUACUCUCCAAGUACUUCUUAUUAGAAGCUCAUUGAGUCGCUUUCUUCUUCCCUCUACUUCGGCUGCAUCUACACAUGAUCAGCUUGCAAUGGCCUUGAGGAACCAGGUCAUUGAGCUUAGAGGAUCUUCUGGUAGCUCACUUGAAUCCACACCUCAAGCUUGACUUAGUAUAGGUGCAAGCUUGAAGUGAGCCUCAAUGAGACUUCAAACCGGGAGCGCAUCACUACCUACAGCUGCGCUUAACCCAACCGAUCUGCCAUUGCCUUCAGCUCCAAUGCCUUCAGGUCAUCAGUCUCCCCAAGACUUAGGUGGUGACCUUUACUUGUGUGUCUCCAUGAACCAGGAGCACAUCACUAUCACUAGCUGCGCUAUCUCAACCGGCCAUACACACAAGUCUUUCUCCAUUGCUUUAACAAUGGCAAAGUCUUCCUCUUCUACUUGGAUGGAUGGUGAGCAAAGAACACUUCUUGUGAACCUGAAACACCACUCAAACUCCAGCAAAGAUAAGACACAAUUGCAUUGGGAUCAAUCCUUGACUUCAUCAAGUUUGAUCACCAAUGUCUCAAGCUUUAUAGCAUUAGAUAGAAUCAAGACAAUGUCAAGUUCUUAUCUAUGCAAGCAACCAUUCUCUAAAUACAAAGCAAGACCUUAUCAGAUUCAAGUCAACGUAUUUAGGCAAUUUUAAUUACUUCUUAAUCUGCAACUUAGACUUUGAUUUCUAACUCAUGACAGCAAGCAUGAUAAUAUAAUCUAUCAUAUUAACAAGACAAUUUAAUUUAGAACUGGACAUUAAGCAUUUAACCAUUUUCAAUCUUAUUGAUGUCAAAUCUUGAUUAAUAACUUAUCAAGUUUGAUUCCCACUAUCACAAGCAAUGCAACAGAUAGACACAAGGCAUUAUCAGGUUCUAUUCUUUGCAAGCUAACUCUCUAAGUACAAGCAAGAUCCUAACAGAUUCAAGACAAGUUUCUUAGGCACUCUUAAGAGCUUCUUUACUCAGCACUUAGACAUGAAUCUAAUGCUUCAAUGUAAGACAGCCACAAGAUGAUAAAAUGCUUUAAUCUUUAUCAGUCUCUAACACAUGAAUGCACCCAGUUUUAACAGUAGCAUUUAGCACAUUAAUACACAUUCAUUUAGAGCUGGGAUUAAGAAAUAACAUUAUCAACCAACAUCAGACACAAUGCAUAACCUUUGGUGAUUUCAUUUCAUGAAUGCAAUCAGGUUUAGACAAAUUCUAACUCCCUAACAAGCAUCACUAGAAUCAAGGCAUUUUUAAACAUUUCAGACACCAAACAAGACUUUUUAAAUAUCCUCGGACAGAUUCUAAACUCAUUUUCAUUUAGCAAUCUUAAACAUAUCCUCAGGUUUUCAAUCACAACAUCACAACCAUAUCAUAAAGACACAAGCUUUAAACAAGGGAAAAAGGUUUAGCUUACAACCAAGGAACCAGUGCUUGUUCCUUGAGCCUCCAAGGCAAUCUGCAUCAUAAAUGGACAAACCAACAUCUCCUUCUUUACGUGGCCUUUCUCCUUGAACCCACCAUGCCAAAGACACCUCCUUUCUUCAUGUUUGAGUUGCCACACAAGUACCAAUGCUGAAAGCUUCCUCCUUGGAAGGUUUCUUCUUGGACAGUGAAUGGGAAAGGCUUGGACAUGCUUCCAAUUGCCUUCUUUCUUCAGGGCGGACAUGAGAGAGUAUGAUGGACUUAGGACAGCUUCUAUACAUGCCAUGGAUGAGCAAAACUUCAUCUUGAAGAGAUUACACAGCCGGCUGGAAAGAACUUCUUCAACAGCUUCAAUAGCUUGAAAAUGGCAUGGGAGUGAGCUUGUGCUUGAGCUGAAGCUGGAACCAAGUUCUGAUGAACCUGGCUCUGAUACCAUAUAAGAUUUAACAGAGUUCAGGUUGUGUGUGUGAUGAACACGCCCUUAAGGGCAAGAGAUCUUGUCUUGUGACAAUAAUGGAAGAGAAUAAAAGAGAGACUGAUGGAAGAAUAAGGAUGGUGUGAGAUUAAGAGACUUUGAGUGAGAGAUUAAGAGAUUAGAGAGACUGAGAGAUUAAGUAACCAGAGAAUAGAGAUUGAGAGAUUCAAAGUAACCAAAAACUAUGAAGGAGAAGGGAAAAUCCCCCUUACUCACUUAAGAGUUACAAAACAUCACUUAUGAGCUUAUAUAUGCUCUUUACAACUUGCAAUCAUAAACCUAAAUCUAAGGGCUGUUAUAACUUGAAUUUAAAUGGAUGGAUGAGAUGGAAAGAUGGUCUUGGUCGUGGCUGGCUCUUCCUGAUGGAUAAUUGGUCCAUUUGAAUCUGGUCAAGGGAAGGCUGGCUCCUUAUUGGCUAGCUAAAGGCUCCCAUGAAUCUGCCCACUUCUUUUGCUAGAUACAUGGUCUCCUUUUGCUUUUACUUUACAGCAAGGGACUCUCCUUUCCAGCCUGUCACUCGCCAGCCUCUCCUUUGUCUUCUUCUCUUAAGAGUUUUGUGUUCUCUUACUGUGGUAACUCUCCAAAGUUACUGUAGUAACUUUGGAGUUACUGUCUCAACCAAAUAUUCUCCAAAUGGUGUUUAAGUCCCUCCUGGACUUAAACCCAAUCUUGCACAGCCAUAAGAUCACUUCUUGACUUCUUAAGACCCUCCUGAAGCUUGACAGACAAUCUCUGUAAGACUUGCCCUCUCUUUGCACUAGAACCAAACUACUCCAUACUUUUCCUUUCACUCCAUUUCUAUUCUUCAAGUUAACAUUCUAGAGCUUGCCCUAUCAUUGUACAAGCUACAUCUUCUCUUCAGUUCAACAGCCAACACCUAUGAGAUUGAUUCAUCUUCCUGGUGAUUCUCCACAACUUUAUGUAUCCAAAUCAAGCUUUUCACAAAGUGAUUCAUCCUGGUUUGAUUGGAACGACGAAGAAGCUGUCCUAUUCCCAAACUGGUAAACUGGAAUCACCUGAUUUGAAAGUGGGAUAUCUUCUUCAUGCCAACUCCUAUAAGAUUUGGCCUAGGGAUUGGCCAGUGAGCUCUUGUGCCUUAGAACCAGUGUGGUUGGACACAAGAAGCUCUGGAUCACGGCCUAAUAGGUGCAGCAACUCAAAACAGCUUUGCGCACACUUCACACUUCAGCUUCACCUCUUCAUGGAACCGGUUUGAAGUCUCCCCCUCUCAACUGACUUCACAGCCAUUUUAGAGAAGCUAGGACACGACCAGAUCAUCUUCAAAACACCAGUAAGGCUGAUCAACACUUCACACACGGCUUGCCCUCUUCAUCGAACUGGUUUGGGUCUCCCCUUCUCAACAGACUUCUCAGCCACCUUAGAGAAGCUAGGAAACUGACCAGGAACAUCUUUAGUGAGGCUCAAGCAAUGGUACCUGAUACAUUAUCCCAAAGGUGCAUCAGUACCUAUCAAAACCAAGAAAAUGAAUAUCCUGCAUCACACUUGAUGCACACAAUCUCAUAAUUCAAUCAUAAUCAUCUCAAGUAUCUUUCCAAGCACAAGCAAUGAAUAAGAUGAAUGAAAAAAAGCAAUUCAAUCAUAAUCAUCUUAAGUAUCUUUUCAAGUACAAGCAAUGAAUAAGAUGAAUGAAAAGGAUUGAAAAGAGUUUUAAAAGUCUAAGGGAACUUCCCUUGUGUUUUUGUGAGUUUCCUAACUCUCUCAAUGCACCAUCUUCAUGUCAUCAUCAACUUCUUGGAAAGGCAGAAUGGAUUGAUCAGCUUCUCGUCAAUCACCUCUCAUUGAAGCCGCAUUGAUGGAGAGCCUUCUUCCUCACUUGCCAAGGCUGCUCUGAACAGCCUCUUGCCUAGACACGCCACUGACUUGGCCCGGUUGAUGAUCCUUGUAGAAGCUUUUGCAACAAAAGACUUGUUACUGACCAUGGAUCAUAUGCAUUAAGACUCCCCCUCAAGCUUGGAACCGAGACUAGAAGGAGCUAAGCUUGUGAUGAUUCUAUGCAUCUCCAUGGUCUAAUAACUAUCAUUUUUCAUGAUAGCUUUCUUCUUGUGAGUUUUCUCUCUUCCUUAACCAGGAAUUAGGGUGUUUGAAUCACCAUAGAGAGUCCUCACAAGGCAAGUUCUCACUGUAUAAUAACUCAUGCUACACUUCAUGUAGACUAUGGACUGAACAUGUCCUAUGAUAUUAUACAAUGGCAUUCUCUCAUUGCAUAAUCAAUCACACUACACUUCCUGUAGAUUAUGGAUUAACACAUCCAGUGAUGAUUUGCAAUGGAACUAGACCUUUUGUCUUCACACUUUGGUUUGGCUUGUCACUGUAUCACUUCUUUGUGUACCUAACAUCACCACAACUCAAUGCAAGAUCAGAUCAUCCCAUUGGGAUCAAACUAAGAUCAUCCAUCCUGUUUGAUCACCAAUGCCACAACAAUAUAUAAACCUUGAAACAAGCCAAUCAAUCAAGGCAAGAACAAGCAGUUUUAAAUCUCUAAAAAUGACAAUGCAAGCUUUAAACAAUACAUUGAAAAUUUAGGCUCAUUUUUAAAUGCAUCAAUACAUGAAUGCACAAUCUUAAAGCAUUAGCUAUAUGAAUGCAACAGGUUCAAUCCGAGAGCAAUAUUAAAGCUAUGCACAACAGUUCCAAUCAAUACCAAUGAUGCAAGCAACUUAGACAGUUUCUAAUUGAUGCAAGACAAUCAAUGAUGGAUUAAACAUAGGCAAUAGCAUCAGACAACAAUAGGAUUGAACUUAGACAGUAUGAGACAUGCUUAUGUAUGCAAAACAGCUUAUCAAUCAUGAUGCAAGCAGCAGAGACAUUCUACUCAAGUCUACAACACAUUCAUGAUAAUUUCAAGCUAUGGCAAUACACAAGACAAUGCAAUGAACAGAACAUGAGAUUUUGGGACUCUAGACAUUACCUAAUAUCAAUAAGACAAUGCAGCAGCAAAAUAUUUCCAGUGCAAUUAGCCUAGACAUUCUACUAGAAGCUAUAAACUCUUAAUGUAAAUUAGGGAAAGCACAGAGUAUAAUCAAGAGAUAGACCUAUCAAGACAUAUUAAAAUAGAUGAGACUAGGUUUACUCCCUUGUUUAAGAUGGUGAGGAGUGGUCUCUUCAUUUCGCCACUUGAGUCCUCACUUGCUAGUCUUCCUCUUUCAACUCGGAUGGAUGGUGAACCAAGAACACCUCUUGUGAACCUGAAACAUCACUCAAACUCCAGCAAAGAUAAGACACAAGUGCAUUGGGUCAACCCUUGAUGCAUCAUCAAGUUUGAACACCAAUGUCUUUAAGCAAUGCAACAGAUUAAACUAGACAUUUUCAAGUUCUAAUCUUUGCAAGCAAACUCUCUAAGCACAAGUAAGAUCAUAACAGAUUCAAUACAAGCUACCUAGGCAAUUUUUAAAGCUUCUUUACUCAGCAUUUAGACAUGAAUCUAAUGCUUCAAUGUAAGACAGCCAUUUGACAGUAUGCACUAACCUUAAUCAGUUUCAAUUCAUGAAUGCAACAAUACAAUCCAUCACACAUUCAUUUAUAACUUAGGCUAAGCAUUACUAUCAUCACUUAUCAUCAGACAAUGCAUUACUUUCAAUCUGUUUUCAGUUCAUGAGCUUCAAACAAUACCAUUUCAUUUAGCAAACUCAUUACUUAACAGGAGCAAGCAUUUUACUCUUUAAACACUAAACAAGCCUUUAAAGCAUCCUGGGACAGAUUCAACUAAUUUUAUUUAGCAAUCACACAUUAUCCUCAGGUUUUUCAAUCAAUACAUAUCACAAUAACCAGGCACAGUCACACCACAAGCUCAAUAUCAAGAAGGUUUUAAAGAAUCGCUUACACAAGGAACCAGGUUGGUUCCUUAACCUUUCAUGAAACCGGCCAUGCUUUGUUGGUCUUGAGAGUGUGGAUCGUCACCCACCUCUUUCACCUUCUGUUCAUGGCCUCCAUCUUGUACCAUCAGCUUCAAAGACCCCUCCUUUCUUCAUCUCCACUAGGCGCCAAGCUCUUGACACCAUCUUCUUUGGAACCGGAUGUGAUCUUCUCUUGGACAAGGCGCCUUGGUACAAGGAUAGCUAGGCCUUGUCCAUACACCUUUGCUUCCACUGAGAAUCACCACCAGGAUAGGAAGAGAACAGGAUGAGGAACCAUGAGAACUCGCCAAGCUUCAGUCUUCUUCUUCAUAAGAAGCUGAACCGGAUGGAGAGAGCUUCUAUGGUUUGGAUUUGAGCUGAGAAGAGAGCAGUGUGUUUGCGGAAGCUUCAGCUCAGGUUCUGAUGAACCUGGCUCUGAUACCAUGUGAGAUUUGAGAGCUCUGGCUGUGUAUGUGUAUGAAAAGCCAUUAAGGGCAAAGAUAAGGUCUUGAACUAGUUGAAUAAGAGGUCUGAUGAAACUAGUAUGAACUUGAAUCAGAAACAAAGAGACUUUGAGAGAUUAAGAGAUUAGAGACUAAGAAAGGGGUAGAUUAAGGGAAUCUGAUCAAGAACACACUUUUAUAAUUAUGAAGGAGAUGGGGAAAACCCCCAUACUCUCUUAAACAUUAAAAAUCGCCAAGAUGAGGUUUUUAUAUGCUUUUACAAUCUGCAAACUCAUAAACCUAAAUCUAAUGGCUCAUAAUAGACUUGAAGAAUGGAUGGAUCAGAUGGGGAGUUGGUCUGGUUUUAAUCUGAUUGGUUAAACUCUCUUUGCUGUCUGAUUGGUUUAUUUGAAUCUGGUCAAGUAGAGACCAGCCUCUUAUUGGCUCCUUUUAGGCUCCUGAAUGUUCCCAUGUAUCUGUCCAAAUACAUGGUCAAUACACAGCUCAUGGACAGCUUGCACAGCCUGUCACUUAUCCACAAACAGUCCCAUGACUUAGAGAAAGACAAUGGCGCCCCUUAUGAUCAGAAUCACUUCUUUGCUUCUUCACACACUUAGCUCACGAGUUGCUUCUUCCUUGGGACGCAAGUUAGGUCUUGUUACAAACAUCAGGGUGUGUACGAAAUGCUUUCCUGAUCGUACCAACGCCCUAAUUUUGCAUAAGACCUAAAAUGUCUCAAAUGAGUGAGUUAUGCUUCUCGGGUCGAUCCCGGUCCGUACAAGUCCGUACGGCCUCGUCCCGGUCUCGCCCUAUAUUUGCACACUCAUCCAUUUGUGCCUAAACCAUCUUCUAAGUCCCUCCUGGACUUGGCCCUAUCUUUGCACAGCCCUUAGAACACUUCUGGAGCUCAUCAGACACUUCCGAAACUUUAUAGACAAUCUUUAUAAGACUUGUCCUAUCUUUGAACCAGACCCAAACUCCUCCAUACUUCUCCUUUGACACCAUUUCUUUUCUUCAAGUUAACACUCCCCAUCAAGCUUGACUCUAGAUGAUCCUAAGUCAAGCUUGGAACCUUGAAGAACUUCCUCAUUAAAAACCUCACCAAGGAAAACCCUUUGGGACAAAACCUUGAUGAGGGAAAAAGAGUAAAGUCUCCAAGGCCUAGGGAUUGGCCAGUGAGUCUUUGUGCCUUACCAACAAUGUAAGGGACACAAAGACUCUGGAUCAUGGCCCUCAUGUGAUGCAAGAUAGAACCCACUCUUCUUGCUCAUCAUCAACACUUCUUGUACUCUUCUUCAGACAGAUCUUGGUCUCUCCCCCUUUCACCUAACUUCUUGUUAGGUUGAAGUGUUUGGACACACCAGAUCUUCCUUGAUAGAUACAAGUACCUGAUACAUCAUUCCACAAGUGUAUCAGUCCCCAAGAGAUAAACAUAUCAUGAAUGUAUAUAAAGAAUAGAUAAGGUUUACUCCCUUGUUUAGAUGGUGAGGAGUGGCUGCUCUUCACUAGCCACUUGAAUCCCUCACUUCUGAAACUCCAUCUGAUCAGUGAAGCCACUUCAACACUCCCCCUCAAGCUUGAGACCUCUUGCAAGGAUCAAGGUUGGACAGCAAGAAGGCUUCAUGAUCUGGACUGAACAAACCAUUGCAACCUCUCUUCAUAACUUGCCACCCUUGAUGGACUGCUGGUAGAUACCUCAGUUCCCUCUUCAAUCACCUCACACUAGAGGCCGCAUUGAUAGAGUAACCUUCUUCAUACGCAGCCAAGACUGCUCUGAACAAUCUCUUGAGUAGACACGCUACUGCCUAAACCCGGGUUGGCUCCUUCUUCGGAAGCUUGCAAUGGUAAGGAGGAAACAGGUCACUGAGCUUCGAGAAUCUUCUGGUAGCUCACUUGAAUCCCCACCUCAAGCUUGACUGAGCCUAGGUUCAAGCUUGAAGUGAGCCUCAAUGAGACUCCAAACCGGGAGCGCAUCACUUCCUACAGCUGCGCUUAAGUCAACCGAUCUCCCAUUUCCUUCAGCUCCAAUGCCUUCAGGUCACCGGUCUCCUCAAGACUUAGGUGAUGACCUUUCCUUGUGUGUCUCCAUGAACCAGGAGCGCAUCACUAUCACUAGCUGCGCUUCUCAACCGGCCAUACACACAAGCCACUCUCCAUUGCUUCAACAAUGGGCAAAGUCUUCCUCUUCUACUUGGAUGGAUGGUGAGCAAAGAACACUUCUUGUGAACCUGAAACAUCACUCAAACUCCAGCAUAGAUAAGACACAAAGGUAUUGGUAUCAAUCCUUGACACAUCAUCAAGGUUGAUCACCAAUAUCACAAGCAUUGCAACAGAUUAUACAAGACACUUUCAAGUUCUAAUCUUUGCAAGCAAACUCUCUAAGCACAAUCACUUUCUUUUCCAGAUUUAUGCAAGCUACUUAGGCAUUUUUAACUUCUGCCUUAACUGCAUCUUAGACUUGAAUCAAAGUGCAUCAACCUAAGGCAGCAACAACACUCUACACUCCACUUUAAGCUCGGUUUCAAUUCAUGAAAGCAGUCAGGUUUAGACAAUACUACUAACUCCCUAACAGACAUUCAUUAUGAACCAGAUUCAAGCAACAAUUCUCAGUCACCAACCAACUCUUUUUAAGCAUCCUGGGACAGAUUCUAAACAUUUCAUAUCUAGCAAUCUUUAAACACAUCCUCAGGUUUUCAAUCACAUCACAACAUCACAACCUGUUUAAUACAUCAUUCAGUUCACAUACACAAGCUUUAAACAAGAGAAAGAGGUUUCUUACAGCCAAGGAACUAGUGUUAGUUCCUUGAAACUCCAUAGAACAUGGCAAGACAGUGAGCUGUUGGUGUCGACCCCAACUUCUCCUUCUUCCAAGGACCUUUCUCUUGAACUCUCCAUGUCAAAGACCCCACCUUUCUUCAUGUUACACUCGCCACACCAGUACCAGAUGAAAGCUAUCACCUUUCUUCUUGGACAGUGAAUAAGAAACAGCUUGUAUAAAGCUUUGAAGCUUGGUUGAUCAGACCACUUCCUGCCUUGUUUCCAAGAGCCUUCUUUCUUCAUGGGCGUCAUGAGAGGGUGAGAAACGACCACAUACAGCUUCUGGACACCAGGGAUGAACCCAUCUUCCACUUGAGAUGUUGAACAGCCGGCUGGAUCAUCUAAGCUUGGUCUUGGUUUCAAAACGACAUGAGAGGAGCUUGUGAGCUUUUGCGGAAGCUAAGAACCAGAUUCAGAUGAACCUGGCUCUGAUACCAUGUGAGAUUUUCAGAGAUCUCAGGCUGUGUGUUUGUGUGAAACCUAAUAGGGCAGAGAGAGAGAGAGAGUUUGAUUUAGGUGAUUUAGAGAGAGAUAGAUUAGUGGAAGUGUUUAUGAGUGAUUAAGUGUUUACUCAGAUCAGAAACAAAAGACUUUGAGAGAUUAGGAGAUUAGAGACUAAGAAAGGGAGAGAUUAAGGGAUUCUGAUCCAAGAACACUUUUCUAUUAUGAAGGAGAAGGGGAAAUCCCCCUAACUCUCUUAAGAGUUACAAAUUGCCUCAUACAUCUCUUUAUAUAGGCUUUUACAAUCUGAGACAUCUUAAACCUAUAUCUAAUGGCUGUAAAUAACUUAAGAGGAAUGGAUGGUGUAGAUGAGCUGGUCUUGUUGCAAUCUGAGUAGUUGAUGCUGAUUGGUUAAGAGGAGGUGAAGCCUGAUUGGUUUAAUUCAAAAUGGGGAAGGCUGGAUGAUGAUUGGCUCUCCUUAGGCUCCUCCUAAUCUGUCCACAGAUCAGUCUAGGUUCAUGGUCGUGGCUCUCCUUGUCUUUACAGCCAAGGCCAGCCUGUCCCAUGACUAAAGUAGCCAAUCACACUGCAAUGGCAUCUUCUUGAUUCUCCUUUGAUGCCAUCUGAU